RNAcentral lists this ribosomal RNA (253 nucleotides) under uncultured bacterium. RNAcentral's name for it is "partial 16S ribosomal RNA". It matches the Rfam family "Bacterial small subunit ribosomal RNA", at positions 524 to 776 of the family's 1533-position model. The record is from RNAcentral.
UACGUAGGGUGCAAGCGUUAAUCGGAAUUACUGGGCGUAAAGCGUACGCAGGCGGCUUUGCAAGACAGGUGUGAAAUCCCCGGGCCUAACCUGGGAACUGCAUUUGUGACUGCAUGGCUAGAGUUUGUCAGAGGGGGGUGGAAUUCCACGUGUAGCAGUGAAAUGCGUAGAUAUGUGGAGGAACACCAGUGGCGAAGGCGACUACCUGGCCUGUUCUUGACGCUGAGGCGCGAAAGCUAGGGGAGCAAACGGG